Molecule: ribosomal RNA, 468 nt
Filed under: uncultured bacterium
Lineage: Bacteria
Description: partial 16S ribosomal RNA
Rfam family: Bacterial small subunit ribosomal RNA
Source: RNAcentral
GACGAACGCUGGCGGCGUGCUUAACACAUGCAAGUCGAACGGAAAGGCCCUGCUGUUGUGGGGUGCUCGAGUGGCGAACGGGUGAGUAACACGUGAGUAACCUGCCCUUGACUUUGGGAUAACUUCAGGAAACUGGGGCUAAUACCGGAUAGGAGCUCCUGCUGCAUGGUGGGGGUUGGAAAGUUUCGGCGGUUGGGGAUGGACUCGCGGCUUAUCAGCUUGUUGGUGGGGUAGUGGCUUACCAAGGCUUUGACGGGUAGCCGGCCUGAGAGGGUGACCGGCCACAUUGGGACUGAGAUACGGCCCAGACUCCUACGGGAGGCAGCAGGGGGGAAUAUUGCACAAUGGGCGGAAGCCUGAUGCAGCAACGCCGCGUGCGGGAUGACGGCCUUCGGGUUGUAAACCGCUUUCGCCUGUGACGAAGCGUGAGUGACGGUAAUGGGUAAAGAAGCACCGGCUAACUACGUG